Molecule: long non-coding RNA, 377 nt
Organism: Suricata suricatta (meerkat)
Lineage: Eukaryota; Metazoa; Chordata; Mammalia; Carnivora; Herpestidae
Exons: 2
Source: RefSeq, a predicted model, not a curated record
UUCUCUGAUUCCAAGUUCCUGUUUCAUAGAUGGAGGAACUGAGGUUCCGAGAGAGGGAGCAGGUCCCCAAGGUCACAGGCAAGAUCAGUGACCUUCUGACCCCAAAACAGAAGCUGACAAACCAGAGCUGGUACAGAUGGGGAAACUGAGGACCAGAGGGGCCACCCGCACGCCGUGGGCUGCUCAGCGGGAGAGUGGCCGAAUGAACUUCCCUUCUGGGCCACCUGGCUUCCAGAACAGGGCUGGCCCUGCGUCACAGACGAUGACCAGCAGAAAGCAGCUGAGCUGUGUGGACUACGAGCUGGUCUCUCCACUUCUCAGAGCCUCAGUUUCCUCAUCUGAAGAAAGGGAUCAUUAAAAAAAACUACAUCACGGGA